GUCGAGCGGAACGAUGAUAGCUUGCUAUCAGGCGUCGAGCGGCGGACGGGUGAGUAAUACUUAGGAAUCUACCUAGUAGUGGGGGAUAGCUCGGGGAAACUCGAAUUAAUACCGCAUACGUCCUACGGGAGAAAGCAGGGGAUCAUUAGACCUUGCGCUAUUAGAUGAGCCUAAGUCGGAUUAGCUAGAUGGUGGGGUAAAGGCCUACCAUGGCGACGAUCUGUAGCUGGUCUGAGAGGAUGAUCAGCCACACCGGGACUGAGACACGGCCCGGACUCCUACGGGAGGCAGCAGUGGGGAAUAUUGGACAAUGGGGGGAACCCUGAUCCAGCCAUGCCGCGUGUGUGAAGAAGGCCUUUUGGUUGUAAAGCACUUUAAGCAGUGAAGAAGACUCUUCGGUUAAUACCCGGGGACGAUGACAUUAGCUGCAGAAUAAGCACCGGCUAACUCUGUGCCAGCAGCCGCGGUAAUACAGAGGGUGCAAGCGUUAAUCGGAAUUACUGGGCGUAAAGCGAGCGUAGGUGGCUUGAUAAGUCAGAUGUGAAAUCCCCGGGCUUAACCUGGGAACUGCAUCUGAAACUGUUAGGCUAGAGUAGGUGAGAGGGAA
RNAcentral lists this ribosomal RNA (607 nucleotides) under Psychrobacter sp. CS621010. RNAcentral describes it as "bacterial SSU rRNA". It matches the Rfam family "Bacterial small subunit ribosomal RNA", at positions 61 to 660 of the family's 1533-position model. Lineage: Bacteria; Pseudomonadati; Pseudomonadota; Gammaproteobacteria; Moraxellales; Moraxellaceae. The record is from RNAcentral.